UAGUUAGUAGAUUGGUCAUGCCUCUGGUAUGUACUGGUUUCACUGAUUCCUCCUUCCUGAUGAACCGUAAUGCCAUUUAUUUGGUGUUGCGAGGAAUUUGGACUGUUACUUUGAAAAAAUUAGAGUGUUUAAAGCAAGCUAACGCUUGAAUACAUUAGCAUGGAAUAAUGAAAUAGGACGUUCGAUCCUAUUUUGUUGGUUUCUAGGAUCGACGUA
This 216-nucleotide ribosomal RNA is filed under the name uncultured Glomeromycotina. RNAcentral describes it as "partial small subunit ribosomal RNA". It matches the Rfam family "Eukaryotic small subunit ribosomal RNA", at positions 631 to 864 of the family's 1831-position model. Lineage: Eukaryota; Fungi; Glomeromycota. The record is from RNAcentral.